CUACGGGUGGCUGCAGUCGGGAAAAUUUUGCAAUGCACGCAAGUGUGACAAAGCAAGCCACAGUGCUUUUCUAUAAUUGAAAAGCUUUUAUGAGAUGUAAAAAGUCUCAUGAAUAAGGACCGGGCAAGACUGGUGCCAGCCGCCGCGGUAAUCCCAGCGGUCCAAGUCGCAGCCACAUUUGUUGGGUCUAAAACAUCCGUAGCUUGCUCUGUAAGUCUUUGGUGAAAUCUGGCCUCUUAAGGGUCGGGCGAGCCUAAGAUACUGCAAAGCUAGAGACCGGGAGGCGUAAUGAGUACGAUAAGAGUAGCGGUUAAAUGCGUUGAUCCUUAUUGGACUAACAGUCGCGAAGGCGCGUUACGAGCACGGUUCUGACAGUGAGGGAUGAAGGCUAGGGGCGCAAAGUGGAUUAGAUACCCUGGUAGUC
This 424-nucleotide ribosomal RNA is filed under the name uncultured archaeon. Its description in RNAcentral is "partial 16S ribosomal RNA". It matches the Rfam family "Archaeal small subunit ribosomal RNA", at positions 323 to 746 of the family's 1478-position model. The record is from RNAcentral.